Molecule: ribosomal RNA, 2923 nt
Filed under: Escherichia sp. E4742
Lineage: Bacteria; Pseudomonadati; Pseudomonadota; Gammaproteobacteria; Enterobacterales; Enterobacteriaceae
Description: 23S ribosomal RNA
Rfam family: Bacterial large subunit ribosomal RNA
Source: RNAcentral
GGGUUGUGAGGUUAAGCGACUAAGCGUACACGGUGGAUGCCCUGGCAGUCAGAGGCGAUGAAGGACGUGCUAAUCUGCGAUAAGCGUCGGUAAGGUGAUAUGAACCGUUAUAACCGGCGAUUUCCGAAUGGGGAAACCCAGUGUGUUUCGACACACUAUCAUUAACUGAAUCCAUAGGUUAAUGAGGCGAACCGGGGGAACUGAAACAUCUAAGUACCCCGAGGAAAAGAAAUCAACCGAGAUUCCCCCAGUAGCGGCGAGCGAACGGGGAGCAGCCCAGAGCCUGAAUCAGUGUGUGUGUUAGUGGAAGCGUCUGGAAAGGCGCGCGAUACAGGGUGACAGCCCCGUACACAAAAAUGCACAUGCUGUGAGCUCGAUGAGUAGGGCGGGACACGUGGUAUCCUGUCUGAAUAUGGGGGGACCAUCCUCCAAGGCUAAAUACUCCUGACUGACCGAUAGUGAACCAGUACCGUGAGGGAAAGGCGAAAAGAACCCCGGCGAGGGGAGUGAAAAAGAACCUGAAACCGUGUACGUACAAGCAGUGGGAGCCUCUUUAUGGGGUGACUGCGUACCUUUUGUAUAAUGGGUCAGCGACUUAUAUUCUGUAGCAAGGUUAACCGAAUAGGGGAGCCGAAGGGAAACCGAGUCUUAACUGGGCGUUAAGUUGCAGGGUAUAGACCCGAAACCCGGUGAUCUAGCCAUGGGCAGGUUGAAGGUUGGGUAACACUAACUGGAGGACCGAACCGACUAAUGUUGAAAAAUUAGCGGAUGACUUGUGGCUGGGGGUGAAAGGCCAAUCAAACCGGGAGAUAGCUGGUUCUCCCCGAAAGCUAUUUAGGUAGCGCCUCGUGAAUUCAUCUCCGGGGGUAGAGCACUGUUUCGGCAAGGGGGUCAUCCCGACUUACCAACCCGAUGCAAACUGCGAAUACCGGAGAAUGUUAUCACGGGAGACACACGGCGGGUGCUAACGUCCGUCGUGAAGAGGGAAACAACCCAGACCGCCAGCUAAGGUCCCAAAGUCAUGGUUAAGUGGGAAACGAUGUGGGAAGGCCCAGACAGCCAGGAUGUUGGCUUAGAAGCAGCCAUCAUUUAAAGAAAGCGUAAUAGCUCACUGGUCGAGUCGGCCUGCGCGGAAGAUGUAACGGGGCUAAACCAUGCACCGAAGCUGCGGCAGCGACACUAUGUGUUGUUGGGUAGGGGAGCGUUCUGUAAGCCUGCGAAGGUGUGCUGUGAGGCAUGCUGGAGGUAUCAGAAGUGCGAAUGCUGACAUAAGUAACGAUAAAGCGGGUGAAAAGCCCGCUCGCCGGAAGACCAAGGGUUCCUGUCCAACGUUAAUCGGGGCAGGGUGAGUCGACCCCUAAGGCGAGGCCGAAAGGCGUAGUCGAUGGGAAACAGGUUAAUAUUCCUGUACUUGGUGUUACUGCGAAGGGGGGACGGAGAAGGCUAUGUUGGCCGGGCGACGGUUGUCCCGGUUUAAGCGUGUAGGCUGAUUUUCCAGGCAAAUCCGGAAAAUCAAGGCUGAGGCGUGAUGACGAGGCACUACGGUGCUGAAGCAACAAAUGCCCUGCUUCCAGGAAAAGCCUCUAAGCAUCAGGUAACAUCAAAUCGUACCCCAAACCGACACAGGUGGUCAGGUAGAGAAUACCAAGGCGCUUGAGAGAACUCGGGUGAAGGAACUAGGCAAAAUGGUGCCGUAACUUCGGGAGAAGGCACGCUGAUAUGUAGGUGAAGCGACUUGCUCGUGGAGCUGAAAUCAGUCGAAGAUACCAGCUGGCUGCAACUGUUUAUUAAAAACACAGCACUGUGCAAACACGAAAGUGGACGUAUACGGUGUGACGCCUGCCCGGUGCCGGAAGGUUAAUUGAUGGGGUCAGCGCAAGCGAAGCUCUUGAUCGAAGCCCCGGUAAACGGCGGCCGUAACUAUAACGGUCCUAAGGUAGCGAAAUUCCUUGUCGGGUAAGUUCCGACCUGCACGAAUGGCGUAAUGAUGGCCAGGCUGUCUCCACCCGAGACUCAGUGAAAUUGAACUCGCUGUGAAGAUGCAGUGUACCCGCGGCAAGACGGAAAGACCCCGUGAACCUUUACUAUAGCUUGACACUGAACAUUGAGCCUUGAUGUGUAGGAUAGGUGGGAGGCUUUGAAGUGUGGACGCCAGUCUGCGUGGAGCCGACCUUGAAAUACCACCCUUUAAUGUUUGAUGUUCUAACGUAGACCCGUGAUCCGGGUUGCGGACAGUGUCUGGUGGGUAGUUUGACUGGGGCGGUCUCCUCCUAAAGAGUAACGGAGGAGCACGAAGGUUGGCUAAUCCUGGUCGGACAUCAGGAGGUUAGUGCAAUGGCAUAAGCCAGCUUGACUGCGAGCGUGACGGCGCGAGCAGGUGCGAAAGCAGGUCAUAGUGAUCCGGUGGUUCUGAAUGGAAGGGCCAUCGCUCAACGGAUAAAAGGUACUCCGGGGAUAACAGGCUGAUACCGCCCAAGAGUUCAUAUCGACGGCGGUGUUUGGCACCUCGAUGUCGGCUCAUCACAUCCUGGGGCUGAAGUAGGUCCCAAGGGUAUGGCUGUUCGCCAUUUAAAGUGGUACGCGAGCUGGGUUUAGAACGUCGUGAGACAGUUCGGUCCCUAUCUGCCGUGGGCGCUGGAGAACUGAGGGGGGCUGCUCCUAGUACGAGAGGACCGGAGUGGACGCAUCACUGGUGUUCGGGUUGUCAUGCCAAUGGCACUGCCCGGUAGCUAAAUGCGGAAGAGAUAAGUGCUGAAAGCAUCUAAGCACGAAACUUGCCCCGAGAUGAGUUCUCCCUGACUCCUUGAGAGUCCUGAAGGAACGUUGAAGACGACGACGUUGAUAGGCCGGGUGUGUAAGCGCAGCGAUGCGUUGAGCUAACCGGUACUAAUGAACCGUGAGGCUUAACCUUACAACGCCGAAG